ACGCCGAAUUUGAACCGUUUCUUUGAACUUUGUUGACAUCUGGUCAGUAUACUUACCACUGUUCAUGUGGUCGUCCUGCUUAACGAAUGUAAAAUUCCAACAUACCCGUGCAGGUCCACUGGCUCCUUGUUAGUUGCGUGCUCCAGCAAUGCAUCCGCUGUCCGGUUGGCGACACCCACAACCUUGGGUACGAUCUGAAUAUUUCAAGAAGUGGGCGCCGUGAGUUCCAAUGUAACCCACGGGCGUACGGAUUCAACAUGCGACUGCGACACCUGUGCAAGCGAUCGCCGGACCUCUACUUUCUGGACCACGGCUUUCACCGACAACCCCCGAUGAGAGUCCUAGCAGCCGACGGCCUGCACCCUAACUUCGAGGGAGUCCGGCAGAUAGCACACCGAGUGCGAACCCUACUGCCCCGGCUUCUACGUCGGCUGCCUGUCCACAAGGAAGGAGUCACCGGGACGCCUGAUCCAGUAUGGCCCACAAUCCAGGAAGCAGCAGCGAGCAGUCGGAGCCAUGUCCACGUCCAGAAAACGUCCAAGAAGCAGGAUUGACUAACUGGUGACCCAUAGCGCAGCUCCACUGGUUCCAACUUUGAUGGACACAGCCAUGAGUUUCCUGACAGUAUCGUGGCAGAUGGUAUCUCGUGCCACAGAAGUACAUACGAACAGUCCAGCAGAAAUACAGCAGCAGCCCAAUCCCAGUCUAUAACUCUGCAGAGGGUCAGAGAGAUAGCAGCAAACCAGGUCGUUCCCACAACUCUCCGCAAGCUCGGGAUUCAUCGCAAACCAAGGCAGCCAGCCAGCCAUGUACGAACCCAUAUUUGCCAACAUUGUAGAUUGUCAACUAGGUAUUUCCAGUGCUUUCGUGACCACGUUGUUCAGUGUGUUGGGUCUGGCUUUCUCCCUUCUUGUGAUACUUGUGGGACAACAUUUGAAACCAUCUAAACAUACAGACAUCAUUUGAAUUUUUGUAUUUAGUUAAGCACACGAGUACAGGAUGGCAGCCAGCCAACAGAAUGUAUAGGUGAGCUACUUGAGGACAUGGAAAGAACAGAUCAACGUUCGCAGAGUAAUCUGAAAAAAAUUGGGCUAUUUAUGCCGUAACCCAGAGGGCCACCACAUGUGCCCCAAGGUGGUUGUCGAUUGCGUUGUAAGCAGCAUAGAGGAAUUGUUUCAGGAAAUGGGUGUGCAGAUUGACACCACUUUGGUAAAAUCAGAUCAGGUUCGGAAAUUGCGUUUAUGUGGAACCCGAUUUUUUGUAACGUGCCUUAAGUGUAAAAUGCGUUGGAGUUCUUUAUCUCAUUAGACUUUCAUUUAGAUGAUUUUUCUACACGUCAUGUGAGGAUGACUACGAAUUACCUAUUUUGCUAUAGUCAAAAAGUGACUUGUCAGCUCAGUUCCUUUAUAUGUACGUUCAGUGCAACGUGUUCUGCACUUUAGUAAUACUCAUAUUUCACAUAUGCUUUUUUCUACAUGAUCCUUCGAGUAUAUUUUGCUCCAUUGAAGAGGAGAC
Long non-coding RNA from Ornithodoros turicata, 1515 nucleotides. RefSeq lists it as uncharacterized. The record is from RefSeq and is a predicted model, not a curated record. Lineage: Eukaryota; Metazoa; Arthropoda; Arachnida; Ixodida; Argasidae. The transcript has 4 exons.